RNAcentral lists this ribosomal RNA (409 nucleotides) under Cryptosporidium parvum. RNAcentral's name for it is "SSU rRNA". It matches the Rfam family "Eukaryotic small subunit ribosomal RNA", at positions 673 to 1091 of the family's 1831-position model. The record is from RNAcentral. Lineage: Eukaryota; Apicomplexa; Conoidasida; Eucoccidiorida; Cryptosporidiidae.
CUAUUAUAUAAAAAUUUUGAUGAAUAUUUAUAUAAUAUUAACAUAAUUCAUAUUACUAUAUAUUUUAGUAUAUGAAAUUUUACUUUGAGAAAAUUAGAGUGCUUAAAGCAGGCAUAUGCCUUGAAUACUCCAGCAUGGAAUAAUAUUAAAGAUUUUUAUCUUUCUUAUUGGUUCUAAGAUAAGAAUAAUGAUUAAUAGGGACAGUUGGGGGCAUUUGUAUUUAACAGUCAGAGGUGAAAUUCUUAGAUUUGUUAAAGACAAACUAAUGCGAAAGCAUUUGCCAAGGAUGUUUUCAUUAAUCAAGAACGAAAGUUAGGGGAUCGAAGACGAUCAGAUACCGUCGUAGUCUUAACCAUAAACUAUGCCAACUAGAGAUUGGAGGUUGUUCCUUACUUCUUCAGCACCUUAA